AUGGCGUUCUCCAAAAGCACACUUGCAGAAGGCUCCUAUGGGAAGGUGUACAUAGAAAUGUACAAUAACAACUGGGCAGCAGUCAAAAAGGUCCCCCGUCGUCUUGUCAGCAGGGAGGACGUGGAGAGAGAAUGUAAAGUAUACAACAAAGCAAAGCAUCCCAACAUUGUCCAGCUUCUGGGUAAUAUAAGUAUCAGAGAAAAAAUGUGGAUUAUUCCAUUGGAGUAUAUCUACGGAGAGAAUUUGGAGCAAAUCAUCUUUAAUGCUACAGUGUCUAAGAUACAGGUGACUUUACUAAAAACAAGUUGUUGUUAUUAUUGUCUCUAUAAGACAACAACAUGUAAUUACCCAUUUAGUCGAAAACAUCUCAGUUGUAAAUGACAAACUUUCUUAUAUCAGUCAUAACAAAACCAUAGCUGUUUCAUCAGAUUUUUAAUGCUAAAGCUGAGUUUUGUUGCAUCAGGUCAUAAUGAGGUUAUUUUAUUUCCAAAUGUUCUUUGGUUUUUGUUUUGUAGUUGACUUCAUCAGUCAGAGCUACAGUCAUCAUAGACAUGUGUGAAGGCCUGCUUCAUCUUCACUCCAAAGACAUCGUUCAUCAAGAUCUCAAGCCUGAUAACAUCAUGGUGAGCUAACAACCUGCACUUACAGGUUAUUAGUCAUCAUUUUUUCAGGUGAAACACCAAAAAUGAGAAUUUGGUGCAAAAUGACAUUAAUUUCAGAAAUUCAUCAAAAAAAGGUGAAACAUAUAAUUGUGAUGAUUAUGGCUUAUAGCUUAUGAAAAUCCCAAAUUCAACACAUCAGACUAUUAAAAUUUUGAGAAAAGGAUCAAAGUAUCACACUUUAUUCAUCUAAUUGAUUUGAAACACCUGCAAAGGGUCAGUCUAAGUUGGAUUACUGAAAUGAGUGGACUUUUGAGUUUCACCUGUAUGUGGACUGAAUUCUGUUUGUCCUUCAGGUGGAAUAUAACACACACAGAGCAGUGAUCAUUGACCUGGGACUCGCCAAGUUCUUCAAACAAGGACUGAACUCUGCAGAAAACUUGGGGAAUGAUGCCUAUUUGGCCCCCGAAGUGCUUCUUGGAUACAGCCAGCGGAGUC
RNAcentral lists this long non-coding RNA (1097 nucleotides) under Nothobranchius furzeri (turquoise killifish). RNAcentral describes it as "lncRNA (ENSNFUG00015008789.1)". The record is from RNAcentral. Lineage: Eukaryota; Metazoa; Chordata; Actinopteri; Cyprinodontiformes; Nothobranchiidae.